Molecule: ribosomal RNA, 253 nt
Filed under: uncultured bacterium
Lineage: Bacteria
Description: partial 16S ribosomal RNA
Rfam family: Bacterial small subunit ribosomal RNA
Source: RNAcentral
UACGGAGGGUGCAAGCGUUGUUCGGAAUCAUUGGGCGUAAAGCGAGCGUAGGCGGACCAGAAAGUCGGGUGUGAAAUCCCUCGGCUCAACCGAGGAAGUGCAUUCGAAACUCCUGGCCUUGAAUACUGGAGAGGGAAGCGGAAUUCCCGGUGUAGAGGUGAAAUUCGUAGAUAUCGGGAGGAACACCAGUGGCGAAGGCGGCUUCCUGGACAGAUAUUGACGCUGAGGCUCGAAAGUGCGGGUAGCAAACAGG